GCAAGAUUAAAACUCAAAGGAAUAGACGGGGACCCGCACAAGCGGUGGAGCAUGUGGUUUAAUUCGAAGAUACGCGAAGAACCUUACCUGGGCUUGAUAUCCAACUAAUCUCUUAGAGAUAAGAGAGUGCUAGCUUGCUAGAAAGUUGAGACAGGUGCUGCACGGCUGUCGUCAGCUCGUGUCGUGAGAUGUUGGGUUAAGUCCCGCAACGAGCGCAACCCACGUAUUUAGUUGCUAACAGUUUGGCUGAGCACUCUAAAUAGACUGCCUUCGUAAGGAGGAGGAAGGUGUGGACGACGUCAAGUCAUCAUGGCCCUUAUGCCCAGGGCGACACACGGGCUACAAUGGCAUAUACAAUGAGAUGCAAUAUCGCGAGAUGGAGCAAAUC
Molecule: ribosomal RNA, 388 nt
Filed under: Campylobacter fetus subsp. testudinum
Lineage: Bacteria; Pseudomonadati; Campylobacterota; Epsilonproteobacteria; Campylobacterales; Campylobacteraceae
Description: bacterial SSU rRNA
Rfam family: Bacterial small subunit ribosomal RNA
Source: RNAcentral